Molecule: non-coding RNA, 45 nt
Organism: Trichobilharzia regenti
Lineage: Eukaryota; Metazoa; Platyhelminthes; Trematoda; Strigeidida; Schistosomatidae
Source: Rfam
AUCCAGCCGACAAGUUCCAAAUAGGAGGAAAUGCACAUCUUGGAU